This 80-nucleotide ribosomal RNA is filed under the name Vibrio cholerae O1 str. 116059. RNAcentral describes it as "partial 16S ribosomal RNA". Lineage: Bacteria; Pseudomonadati; Pseudomonadota; Gammaproteobacteria; Vibrionales; Vibrionaceae. The record is from RNAcentral.
AAAGAUUUAUCAAUGAACUGAGUGACCAUUUGAAUGAGCAAUCAUUCAGCACAGUCAAUUCAACAUUACUUCGCUUUUUA